Molecule: non-coding RNA, 183 nt
Filed under: Deltaproteobacteria bacterium
Lineage: Bacteria; Pseudomonadati; Myxococcota; Myxococcia
Description: 6S RNA
Rfam family: 6S / SsrS RNA
About the family: E. coli 6S RNA was the first non coding RNA to be sequenced, but its function was unknown until recently. It consists of 184 nucleotides that fold into an extended hairpin structure with a large single-stranded internal bulge.
Source: RNAcentral
UUUCCCCUGCGGUGUUGGUGAUUGGCAGCACGUUCUUGAGCCAACAGAUAAAAAUAGGGAGCCCUUCCUUGGCACGGUGUGACGCCUUGUGUUGAGCAAGACGCCUAAAGUACCAACAGGGUGCCCACCUGGUGAAACCAGGUUCAAAACAAUCUGCCGACACGGCACCUUCGCGGGGGUUUU